Schistosoma margrebowiei is the source of this 46-nucleotide non-coding RNA. The record is from Rfam. Lineage: Eukaryota; Metazoa; Platyhelminthes; Trematoda; Strigeidida; Schistosomatidae.
GUAAAGGCCCUUUUCAGGGCCACCCACAAUUUGAUUUAAAUUCUUU